This is a non-coding RNA of Acanthosepion pharaonis, 113 nucleotides long. The record is from the annotation of a GenBank genome assembly. Lineage: Eukaryota; Metazoa; Mollusca; Cephalopoda; Sepiida; Sepiidae.
UAUGGCCAUAUCAUGUUGAAACACUUGUUCUCAUUUGAUCACCAAAGUUAAGCAACGUUGAGCCUGGUCAGUAUUUAGAUGUGUGACCACUGAGGAAUAUCAGAUGCUGUAAG